GACAAUGUGCAGGAUAGGGUGUAGU
This 25-nucleotide non-coding RNA is filed under the name Mus musculus (house mouse). Lineage: Eukaryota; Metazoa; Chordata; Mammalia; Rodentia; Muridae. The record is from RNAcentral.